ACGGAGGCAGCAGUGGGGAAUAUUGCACAAUGGGGGAAACCCUGAUGCAGCGACGCCGCGUGAGUGAAGAAGUAUUUCGGUAUGUAAAGCUCUAUCAGCAGGGAAGAUAAUGACGGUACCUGACUAAGAAGCACCGGCUAAAUACGUGCCAGCAGCCGCGGUAAUACGUAUGGUGCAAGCGUUAUCCGGAUUUACUGGGUGUAAAGGGAGCGUAGACGGCAUGGCAAGUCUGAAGUGAAAGCCUGGGGCUCAACCCCGGAACUGCUUUGGAAACUGUUAAGCUAGAGUGCAGGAGAGGUAAGUGGAAUUCCUAGUGUAGCGGUGAAAUGCGUAGAUAUUAGGAGGAACACCAGUGGCGAAGGCGGCUUACUGGACUGUAACUGACGUUGAGGCUCGAAAGCGUGGGGAGCAAACAGGAUUAGAUACCCUGGUA
This 433-nucleotide ribosomal RNA is filed under the name uncultured Lachnospiraceae bacterium. Its description in RNAcentral is "partial 16S ribosomal RNA". It matches the Rfam family "Bacterial small subunit ribosomal RNA", at positions 341 to 792 of the family's 1533-position model. Lineage: Bacteria; Bacillati; Bacillota; Clostridia; Lachnospirales; Lachnospiraceae. The record is from RNAcentral.